Cercophora sp. LCS_1 is the source of this 87-nucleotide non-coding RNA. Lineage: Eukaryota; Fungi; Ascomycota; Sordariomycetes; Sordariales; Lasiosphaeriaceae. The record is from the annotation of a GenBank genome assembly.
GCCCUUGUAGCUCAGUGGUAGAGCGCAGCACUUGUAUGGACACUUCCUCAUAUGCUGAGGUCUCAGGUUCAAUCCCUGGCGGGGGCA